CAAUAGCGUAUAUUUAAGUUGUUGCAGUUAAAAAGCUCGUAGUUGGAUUUCGGUUGAGAGCGGCCGGUCCGCCGUUAGGUGUGCACUGAUUGGUCUCAGCUUCCUGGUGAGGAGGUGUGCUUCACGGCCACUUAGUCACCGUGGUUACUUUGAAAAAAUUAGAGUGUUCAAAGCGGGCUUACGCUUGAAUAUAUUAGCAUGGAAUAACACCAUAGGACUCCUGUCCUAUUUCGUUGGUCUCGGGACGGGAGUAAUGAUUAAGAGGAACAGUUGGGGGCAUUCGUAUUUCAUUGUCAGAGGUGAAAUUCUUGGAUUUAUGAAAGACGAACUUCUGCGAAAGCAUUUGCCAAGGAUGUUUUCAUUGA
This 365-nucleotide ribosomal RNA is filed under the name uncultured eukaryote. RNAcentral's name for it is "partial 18S ribosomal RNA". It matches the Rfam family "Eukaryotic small subunit ribosomal RNA", at positions 592 to 976 of the family's 1831-position model. The record is from RNAcentral.